GAGGCAAUAGAAAACUGAGACUUGACUGCCUCUGGGUUUCGUAUCCCUGCUCCGAAAACCCCUCUUGUAAGCAUAACUGCGUCUCUUCGGACCUUCCUCCCUCUGCCCCUCUGGCAUGUGUUCUGGGCCCUGCAAAGGUUGCUCUUUACUGGGUUUUGUCAAGCCAACACAAAGUAAAUAUUUUCGGUUCCUUAAAGCUGGCGAGAGUAGGGGAGAGAUCAAGUGACAGCGCCUGGGAAUCAAUGCAGUCUCAUGCAACAGCAGGCUGGGUUCCGUGCAGGCUGGGAGCCUCGGAUUAGGAACACAUGGCCAGGGCUGGGUUGGUCCCUCCAGCGCCUCUCUUGACACAUGGGAGUUGAUGUGGAUCUAAGGAAGAAAUCAACAGCAAUAACAAAUCAAGCGUCAGGUGCUGUCAGGCCCGUGGAUUCUCCAAGUCUUGUAAAUAUCUCCCUCAGGCCAGAGAUGCCCUUAUUCCCAGACUUACCAAAUUGGAGGAUGGGUGGGAAAAGGUGCCCUGCCAAUCAGGAAGAGGAGCAAAAUCGCUCUGCUGGAGGAUCAUUAAAGAAAACAAAUCCUGGAGUGCUGAGCUCAAAUGUUUAAAAAAUCACACUUAGUGCAAAUAAAAACCUCAGAAAGUUGUGCCUGUUGUGGGUUUUCUCCCUUAGGAGAAUGCGAUUCUGGCAUCCAGUAGAAGAGCCAUCUGAAAUGAAGCCACACGGAGGCUCAGAGAGUCCCAUCCCUGUUCUCUGUCAGGGUGGGUGGCAGGAACUCUUCAUGAUAGAAAAAUAUCGAUCUCAUCCUUUCCAAAGCACGUUGCAGGAGUCAGGAAUGGGGAGACCACGAUGGAUUCCUGUCGCAAACAGAGAUUGUGGAAACAAAAUAUGUUUAAAUCUUAAGGUGUUUGUUCUAAGGUUGCAGACUGUCAGACCAUCCUGCAUUUGAAUCAUCCCCGGUCAUCUGUUUGAGAUCCAUUCUAUCUCCCUGAAGUCUUGCUCUACAAACCACUCAUCUUUUUCAAGCAAACGAUCUCUCUUCC
This 1036-nucleotide long non-coding RNA is filed under the name Sus scrofa (pig). Its description in RNAcentral is "lncRNA (ENSSSCG00070020789.1)". The record is from RNAcentral. Lineage: Eukaryota; Metazoa; Chordata; Mammalia; Artiodactyla; Suidae.